This 523-nucleotide long non-coding RNA is filed under the name Androctonus crassicauda. Lineage: Eukaryota; Metazoa; Arthropoda; Arachnida; Scorpiones; Buthidae. The record is from RNAcentral.
CCCAGAUCUGUGUGUCUACCUUCUCUCCCUGGGCCACUUUCUCACUGUCUUCUUUCAGGGCCCUCAGAGCAGGGACAGUCAGGACUUCCGGCAAGCCAGUGACUGCCCCAUGUAGUACAGAUGCUGGGAGGUAACUGUGUAGCUCAGACAGGUCUAGGAGUGGAAAGAGGGUUCUGCUGGCCCAUCCUCUGACCCCUUCUCUACCACCUUCAAACUCUCUGACUCUGUGCCCCUACUCAGGGAGGUGGCUUUGGCCCAGAGGCUCAGGCCUGGUCUGAGAUAGGCCCAGUGGGUGGGGUCCUGGCCAGGUCUAGACGGUCUUCACUGUCAGGGAAGCCCCAGAAGCCACAUAGGUAUUAAGUGGGGGCAGGGCUCUCCAAAAGACCCCCCUGGAACUCUGUGCAGGGUAAGCCAGGGCAGGUGGGAGUGGGGGUAGUGCCAGGACUGGUCCCUGAGAACUGGGAUAUGUGAACCCUGAAUGAAUAGGAUAGGGGUUUUCAAGAACCACCUGUCUAUCUCCAUG